RNAcentral lists this ribosomal RNA (305 nucleotides) under uncultured bacterium. RNAcentral's name for it is "bacterial SSU rRNA". It matches the Rfam family "Bacterial small subunit ribosomal RNA", at positions 333 to 636 of the family's 1533-position model. The record is from RNAcentral.
CUUGUCCUACGGGAGGCAGCAGUGAGGAAUAUUGGUCAAUGGCCGGAAGGCUGAACCAGCCAAGCCGCGUGAAGGACGAAGGUGCCAAGCAUUGUAAUCUUCUUUUGUCAAGGGACAAAAUCAGGCUCGAGAGCCUGACCGAGGGUACUUGAAGAAAAAGCAUCGGCUAACUCCGUGCCAGCAGCCGCGGUAAUACGGAGGAUGCGAGCGUUAUCCGGAUUUAUUGGGUUUAAAGGGUGCGUAGGCGGGCUGUUAAGUCAGCGGUAAAAGCCCGGGGCUGAACCCCGGCGAGGCGUUGAAACUGG